RNAcentral lists this ribosomal RNA (520 nucleotides) under uncultured Scutellospora. RNAcentral describes it as "SSU rRNA". It matches the Rfam family "Eukaryotic small subunit ribosomal RNA", at positions 569 to 1093 of the family's 1831-position model. Lineage: Eukaryota; Fungi; Glomeromycota; Glomeromycetes; Diversisporales; Gigasporaceae. The record is from RNAcentral.
AGCAGCCGCGGUAAUUCCAGCUCCAAUAGCGUAUAUUAAAGUUGUUGCAGUUAAAAAGCUCGUAGUUGAAUUUCGGGGUUCUACCGUUGGUCGGGCUAUUGUCUGUACUGGCGUGUGGAAUUUCUACCUUCUGGGGAACUAUCAUGUUAUUAAUUUAGCGUGGUAGGAAACCAGGACCUUUACCUUGAAAAAAUUAGAGUGUUCAAAGACAGGCUUAUGUCUGAAUACAUUAGCAUGGAAUAAUAAAAUAGGACGGUGGUCCUGUUUUGUUGGUUUCUGAAUCACCGUAAUGAUUAAUAGGGAUAGUUGGGGGCAUUAGUAUUCAAUUGUCAGAGGUGAAAUUCUUGGAUUUAUUGAAGACUAACUACUGCGAAAGCAUUUGCCAAGGAUGUUUUCAUUAAUCAAGAACGAAAGUUAGGGGAUCGAAGACGAUCAGAUACCGUCGUAGUCUUAACCAUAAACUAUGCCGACUAGGGAUCGGAUGAUGUUAAUUUUUAAUGACUCAUUCGGCGCCUUACGG